AUUGAACGCUGGCGGCAUGCCUUACACAUGCAAGUCGAACGGCAGCACGGGAGCAAUCCUGGUGGCGAGUGGCGAACGGGUGAGUAAUAUAUCGGAACGUGCCCAGUCGUGGGGGAUAACGUAGCGAAAGCUACGCUAAUACCGCAUACGAUCUAUGGAUGAAAGCGGGGGAUCGCAAGACCUCGCGCGAUUGGAGCGGCCGAUAUCAGAUUAGGUAGUUGGUGAGGUAAAGGCUCACCAAGCCGACGAUCUGUAGCUGGUCUGAGAGGACGACCAGCCACACUGGGACUGAGACACGGCCCAGACUCCUACGGGAGGCAGCAGUGGGGAAUUUUUGGACAAUGGGCGCAAGCCUGAUCCAGCAAUGCCGCGUGCAGGAUGAAGGCCUUCGGGUUGGUAAACGUUAGCUUUUGUUACGGUAAC
This 423-nucleotide ribosomal RNA is filed under the name uncultured bacterium. RNAcentral's name for it is "bacterial SSU rRNA". It matches the Rfam family "Bacterial small subunit ribosomal RNA", at positions 30 to 452 of the family's 1533-position model. The record is from RNAcentral.